This is a long non-coding RNA of Rana temporaria (common frog), 1296 nucleotides long. RefSeq lists it as uncharacterized. Lineage: Eukaryota; Metazoa; Chordata; Amphibia; Anura; Ranidae. The transcript is spliced from 2 exons. The record is from RefSeq and is a predicted model, not a curated record.
UUUUCGAAUUUGCCGCAAACACCCCAAAUUGUUCGCUGUUCGACUGGAUCAUAAAGCUCAUCCCUAGUGACUAUACUCAUAAUGAUGCAGAAGCAUCUCAAGUUAUCUGACUGUCCCCAGAUGUACUGAAACAUUAUAUAAAAAAAAACAUUGCACCACUGUAUCCAACAAAAUGUAAAAGAAAUGUGUUAGCAUUGUUCAAUUCCAACUCUUCCUAUAACACAUAUAGACAGUAAUAUUUCACUUUAGUUAGUGAAAACCCCAGAAUCCAUUAGGACAGUGUCAGUGACUAAUGCAGUAUUAUGAAUGUGAGAUCAACAGUGUAGCAAAGCCCUUUGUCAGAAAUUCUGUUUUACAUGUUUUACGGCUUUUGUUCAGUUUGAUCAAUGACAAAUGUCUCACUUCAUGUUAGUUUUCAAUACAUGUGUUGUAGCACUGAUAACAUUUUGUUUUAAUCUCAGUAAUCAGAAAGCACCUCUAAACAAUAGGAAUUUUGCAGGCCAUGCCAUUUAUUACACACCUCUUCAAUUAGCAUCACCCCUUGAAAAGGAGAGAUAUGCCAACCAGCUGUAUAAAUCACCAUUGGUGGCAAGGAGACUGGCAGGUGCAGAUGGCCAGCUAUGGUAUAUAUACCUGUGAUACACGAGGAGUCCCGAGAACUGCACAGAACUAUUAGUUACAUCAUCAAUGGAUUUUGUGAAAGCAGAAAGCACCCUGAACAAAGAAUAACGCAGAGCAAAAAAAAAAACUACAAGAUAUGAUUUAAAAUACAAAAUAACUACAACUGAUCUUCAAACUGCCACGUUGUUAACAUAAAAACCCUACCAGCACAAAUAAAGAACAAGCUUGAGUAAAUACUUUGCACCAAGCACAACGGGAUGCUGAUUAGAACUCUACAAAGGACACGAGAUGUACUAAGUUUCUUGCUCAUCAUUUAUACACUCCUGUUGGGAACUUUACUGUGUUCUGCUUUCCUGAUGAAUUUCUUGGUUUAUGAUGCAAAGGACUGAUUCAUGUACAUUCCUCAGAUUGUGUUUGCCAUCCUUAUAUACAUCUUUCCUUCUCUUGAUGAAGAGUACAUUGGUCAACUUUUUGCAGUUUUUGCACUUCCUAGAUGAGGAGGAAAGCAAACAAGAUGGAGUGGAUGGAAUGGACUAUGGAAAAUGGACAAUACUGCAACACUGAGUAUAUCUAGAAGGAUUUUUAAUGAUCGGUUGUUGAAUCAUUGAGUCGUGAUGUACCUUUGGGCCUUAUCCAUUUUAUCCCCAGUGCAUAAAUGAAUCCACCUUUCCCAUA